Molecule: transfer RNA, 91 nt
Filed under: Felis catus (domestic cat)
Lineage: Eukaryota; Metazoa; Chordata; Mammalia; Carnivora; Felidae
Also listed under: 1 other name
Rfam family: tRNA
About the family: Transfer RNA (tRNA) molecules are approximately 80 nucleotides in length. Their secondary structure includes four short double-helical elements and three loops (D, anti-codon, and T loops).
Source: Rfam by way of RNAcentral
GCCUGGCUGGCUCAGUCGGUUGAGCAUCUGACUCUUAAUCUCAGCUCAGGUCAUGAUCCCAGGGUCGUGGGAUCGAGCCCCAUGUCGGGCU